This 935-nucleotide long non-coding RNA is filed under the name Homo sapiens (human). RNAcentral describes it as "long non-coding RNA NONHSAT163393.1". The record is from RNAcentral. Lineage: Eukaryota; Metazoa; Chordata; Mammalia; Primates; Hominidae.
ACAUCAUCUUGAUAGAGUCCCAUAGUGUCUCAAAGUGGGGAGGUUAGGAUGCUGGUUAGUCAUGGAGUAUUUUCAGAGUGGAAGUUGAUCAGUGACGUUUUGUCAGGGAUUGAUCCAAUUUAUAAACUAGAACUCCAAUUUAUGGACCUUCUCCAAAAGGUGUUGGCUCUAACUCAGAUGAUUAACAAAUGGAUGCCCACUAUGUUUUGUUUUUGUUUUUUGAGACAAGGUCUUUCUCUGUCACCCAGGCUGGAGUACGGGGUAAAAGAGAAAGAUUAUAAUGUAUAUUCAUUCAUUUAAUUCAUAAUCGUUCCUGUGGAUUUGAGAGUGGUUAUAUGGGCAGUCACCCAGGAACAAAGGACAAGAGGAUUGUCACUUAUGCCUUCAGGAAAUGUUUAUUGAAUGUCUACUAUGGGCCAGAAACAACAGACAGAAAUGCAGCUCUCAUUCUCGUGUGGGAGGCCCCAAACUACAAUUUCAAUAACACCAUUAAAAUCUUGGGCAACAAAGAUAAUAUGUAAUUACCUGAUAAAUUCGAAAGAUGUGAUGAACAAAGAAAAAAGAUCGUCUUGAGCCAGAAUACACACGUGUCCUUCCAGCGUGGAGAUUACUGUGAACUUGCAAACCAGCUUUCGUGCAGAAGGGGGCGAGAGAAUAGGUGGAAAAGAAUAUUGUCAAAUAAUUUUGAAAUUUAUCUCCUAACAUUUUCUGACCAUCUAUUAUUGAGAAAGGAAACAGUUUUUUAAAGCAAUGGCAUGAUUGUACAGUAAACCCUGAAGUGAAAUAUACCCAAAAAAUGUAUUUGUCAAGCAAUCACAUUUUGAUAACUUACAGACAUUUGCAAUUUAUCUUUCUUUUUUCCUCAAAUGGGGAAGAACAAAGUUAAUUUAAGUGAAAUGAAAUAAAAAUUAAAUUAAAAAAUGAAAAAAACCUUA